CUGACCUUGCGUGGUUUAGACACGCCCAGAUAACAAGUUGAGUCUUCGAAGCGUCGAGGAAGUAACUGUAGCCUAUGAGUUUAAUUUCUAUCUACAGUACAAACAAACAAAAAAAUCGAUAAGCACGACAAUGGACAGUCUUCGUCGUGUUCUAAGUGGUCGUGAGGAAAACGAAGAGUUGGGUUUGACAGCACAGGUCCUGGACGCGUCAACGCUGAGCUACAGUACCCGGGUGAAGUGGUUUCUCGUCUGUUUCGCUUCGGGGGUCCUGUGCUCCAUACUUGGUUCAGCACUGCUCUUCUUGCCAAAUGGCAUCAAGCUGUUUGCUGUGUUCUACACUCUGGGGAACCUCGCUGCCCUUUCCAGCACCUGUUUCCUGAUGGGGCCUGUGAAACAGCUGAAGCGCAUGUUUGAGCCCACCAGACUCAUAGCCACCUGUGUCAUGCUGCUCUGUCUGAUUUUGACACUGUGUGCUGUUUUUUGGUUUUCAUCUUUUUUACUGCAUAUCUCCCCAUUCCUGUUCCUCUACAGUGGCAUAAAAAGGGACUAGCUAUAAUCUUCUGCAUUUUACAGUUCUUGGCCAUGACAUGGUACAGCAUCUCCUACAUUCCAUUUGCAAGAGAUGCAGUCAUGAAAUGCUUCACCACCUGUUUGAGUUAAAGAGGCUUGACUAAAGACUGGUCCCAAUAUGCAAACACAAAGUAAAUAUGUAAAAUAUUGUUUUUUAAUAUAAGGAAUUUAUCUUUUUUUUCUGCCGUUUUCAAUAUACUUAAAUCAUCUUUUUUUAAUCAAGUGUGGCUUUUGAUAGCUACAUACAUGCAGCACUACACCAUUGUGUAAUACGCAAACAAAUGUAAUACUUUUAUUUCUGAGAUUCUGAUUUCAUUCUUUGUUCUGUGAUACAUGUUAUUUUGGGCGAGAAUGUGUUUAAAAACAUGAUUUUUUUUUUUCAGCUUAACUGUCAGAAUUUAUUUUAUAUUCUGUGUAUGUUGAGCAGAUGAAGUGUGCUCAGAUAGCCUUAUUUUAUCUGAUCAGGUGUAUUAUUUUGAAGAGCACUGAUGUGCCUCAUGGUUUUGUCCCAUGCUCAGGUUCUCUUUGUUUUCUACUACUAAGACUCAUGUCCAUGUUGAUCUUUGUACAGAGGAAUGAAUUUCUACACGUGUGUGAGUGUGUAUGUGUGUGUACGUGUGUGCAAUGCAUAUAUAAAUAAACCAGCUCUUCCAUUUAAUGCAACUCUCCGAGCAUUAAAAACCAUCACUGAACUCCA
Molecule: RNA transcript, 1267 nt
Organism: Alosa alosa (allis shad)
Lineage: Eukaryota; Metazoa; Chordata; Actinopteri; Clupeiformes; Clupeidae
Gene: sft2d1
Gene name: SFT2 domain containing 1
Exons: 8
Source: RefSeq, a predicted model, not a curated record